RNAcentral lists this ribosomal RNA (1287 nucleotides) under Pseudomonas putida. RNAcentral's name for it is "partial 16S ribosomal RNA". Lineage: Bacteria; Pseudomonadati; Pseudomonadota; Gammaproteobacteria; Pseudomonadales; Pseudomonadaceae. The record is from RNAcentral.
GCCAGUGAACUGGUCCACACUCUAGCGGCUGGCGUCUCAACGAAGCGUGAUACCCCCCCACCUUCGAGUGGAUUACCAACCUGCUCCUAGGGGGGGAGCGGCGGACGGGUGGGUACAAGGCCCGGAACCUAUUUACCCCCGCCUGGGCUAACCCCCAAUACCAACCAAUUCCGCUUCCUGGUAGCCAAUUUGCACCGCAACAUCCCAACCGGAAAGACGGCUUCGGCUUUGACAAAUGGAACCUCCCCCCCCGCGGUAGCUAGUGGGGGCCUUUUUGCCCCCCCUUGGAAACCAUGUGUUACCCCACUUAAAAGGGGGAUGGACAAUUUUGGGACCUCCCCACACCUCCCCCCCYCUUUUGGCAGGCAGAACCCUGAAAACUUCCCCCCAUUAAAAGAAAGGUCCCAAAGAAACAAGGCCGCGCCCGUGUUGGAGGGUUUUCCCGUCCUAAAACUCUGUUGUUAGGGAAAAACAAGUGCGACUCGAAUAACCUUGGCACCUUGAGAGGACCACCCCAAAAACCCAGGGUUAAAAAAGUGCCAAACACCCGGGGUAAUACCUAGGUGGCAAGCGUUAACCGGAAUUAUUGGGCCGUAAAGCGGGCGCACGCUGGUUUCUUAAUUCUGAUGUGAAAGCCCACGGGUUCACCCCUCGGAGGGGGCAUUUGGAAAACUGGGAAAAUUUUUGUGGCAAAAAAGGGGAAGUGGAAUUUUCCAUGUGUUUCCGGUUAAAUUGUGUUAAAGAUAAUGGAGGAAAAACCACUUGGGCAAAGGGGAUUUUUCCCGUCUGUUUCUCGGCCACUGAGGGGGCAAAAACGGGGGAGAAAAAAACAAGAUUAAAAAAUGCUGGUUUCUCCAACCCCCCCAAUAGACGCCAGUAGAAAAGUUCUGGCGAAUGGGGGGAAGGUACCCAUAUAUUCCCCCCCGGUUUUUUGGCCUGGGAAAAAAACCCCCUAAUAACCACCCCCCCCCGGGGGGGGGGGGGGCCGGGGGGGUUAAAAAAAAAAAAAAAAAAAGGGGGCCCCCCCCCCCACUUUGACGCAUAUAUUUUAUUAAAAAAAGACCCCCCCCAAAAAAAAUUCACGGGGGGGGGGGGGCCGCUUAAAACAACACCCUGAUAGUUUUUGACCUGUUUCGCCCCCCACCGGAGGAACUGCACACAUGAGAGCGAUGUCUGUGUUUUUCCUCCCCCCCCAGAGAAGAGAAGUUAGAAGGGACCCAAAACCCCCACCCCACCGCGCCUCCCGUGGUUUCUCUUCCUUGCACAUUAUUUUUGUCAUGUGGAACA